RNAcentral lists this ribosomal RNA (305 nucleotides) under uncultured bacterium. RNAcentral's name for it is "bacterial SSU rRNA". It matches the Rfam family "Bacterial small subunit ribosomal RNA", at positions 337 to 659 of the family's 1533-position model. The record is from RNAcentral.
GCCUACGGGGGGCAGCAGUGGGGAAUAUUGCACAAUGGGGGGAACCCUGAUGCAGCGACGCCGCGUGGGUGAAGGAGUACUUCGGCACGUAAAGCCCUAUCAGCAGGAAAGAAAAUGACGGUACCUGACUAAGAAGCCCCGGCUAACUACGUGCCAGCAGCCGCGGUAAUACGUAGGGGGCAAGCGUUAUCCGGAUUUACUGGGUGUAAAGGGAGCGUAGACGGCAGUGCAAGUCCGGAGUGAAAGCCCGGGGCUCAACCCUGGGACUGCUCUGGAAACUGCAAAGCUGGAGGGCGGGAGGGGCA